UGCCACACUAGUCAGUUACCUCAUUAAUCCUCUGAAAAGCACCAUCAGUUCUAAUUUUUUUGGCCAUUGAAGAAAUGAAAAUGAACCAAAGUCUUUAUGAAGUUACAGUGCAACUUUUUUCCUCUGCAAACUAGAAUGAUGCAUUACAUACUUCUGCCUUCUAUUUUUUAGUUAUAAUGCUGAAAUGGAAUUACCUGAAAGGACUAAACCUCUCAUGGCCACAGAAAUAUCUCUGGCAUGAACUGUAUAUGUUACUGUGAUUGUUUUGGAAAAGAGGAGAAGAAGGAAAUAAACAAACAAAACCCUCCCAAACAAACAAACUAAUCCUACUUGUGUAAAAAAAAGUAUUGCAAUCUGCCUUUAGGCAAAAUUCUGUUAAGAUUCUUUUGAGUUUCCAUUGGACACUGGUUUCUGUAUACACUGAGAAAAUUGCCAGCCCACCUGUUACCCAUCCAAACUGGAAUUGACCAUGAUGGCUGAUGAGUCUUCAGAGAUUGUUCCUUUGCAUCAGCUACUUGAGUAUGCUUCUGCCAUGUUACUUACUUCUCCUCAAUCAAAAACUCCAAAGACAAUGGGUCUACAGGUGAAAAUAGCUCCUAUAAAGAUGCCUUGUCUUUUUGACCAAUGCUGGGGUUUAAUGGGAUUCUCUCCAGUGCUCAGGGGAACUGGACAUAUUCAAGAAGAUGCAGGACCUGUUUUUCCUAUUGUUUGAGAUUUCAGUGGCUUCAUAUCUUCCCCUGCUGAAGGAGGCAGAGGGAGGCCAAGAGAUGAGCUGACAAAUAUUUUUUUUCGUCUAAGUCUUUUCCCAUUUUCUCGACUCUACAACUCAAUACCAAGGCAGAUUUCCCUCUCCCCUUUGCAUGGGGCUGUGGAAUUGUGAAACCAGAAGGUCUAGUCUGCAGGGCAGAACAGUAGCAUGCGUUUCCCCACCGUGCACCCUGUGGCUGAUGGGGUAGAGGAAAUCACAGGCUUGGAAGGGCAUUUGAUUGGAAUCUCCUUGGCCAGAGGCACAGAGAAGAAAAGAUGCUGCACUGGCAGAAAGUAACAAUGUUAUCAUUACCCUUCUCCCAGGUCCUACUCUUUGUCUUUUUUCUCUCCCUCUGAAUUAAAAAAAAUAAAUACAUAUACAAUAUUUAG
Molecule: long non-coding RNA, 1137 nt
Filed under: Sus scrofa (pig)
Lineage: Eukaryota; Metazoa; Chordata; Mammalia; Artiodactyla; Suidae
Description: lncRNA (ENSSSCG00035004077.1)
Source: RNAcentral